RNAcentral lists this ribosomal RNA (254 nucleotides) under uncultured bacterium. RNAcentral's name for it is "partial 16S ribosomal RNA". It matches the Rfam family "Bacterial small subunit ribosomal RNA", at positions 524 to 777 of the family's 1533-position model. The record is from RNAcentral.
GACGAAGGGGGCUAGCGUUGUUCGGAAUUACUGGGCGUAAAGCGAGUGUAGGUGGUUGUCCAAGUUGGAUGUGAAAGCCUUGAGCUCAACUCAAGAAAUGCAUUCAGGACUGGGCGGCUAGAGGACCGGAGAGGAUAGUGGAAUUCCCAGUGUAGUGGUGAAAUACGUAGAGAUUGGGAAGAACACCAGUGGCGAAGGCGGCGACCUGGUUCAUAACUGACGCUGAGGCGCGAAAGCGUGGGGAGCAAACAGGG